GCCGCUCUAGCCCAACGGCAGAGGCGCCGUCUUCAGGAGGCGGAGGUUCAGGGUUCGAAUCCCUGGAGCGGCA
RNAcentral lists this transfer RNA (73 nucleotides) under Nonomuraea zeae. It matches the Rfam family "tRNA". Rfam says of the family: Transfer RNA (tRNA) molecules are approximately 80 nucleotides in length. Lineage: Bacteria; Bacillati; Actinomycetota; Actinomycetes; Streptosporangiales; Streptosporangiaceae. The record is from Rfam by way of RNAcentral.